CCGGCGAUUUCCGAAUGGGGAAACCCAGUGUGAUUCGUCACACUAUCAUUAACUGAAUCCAUAGGUUAAUGAGGCGAACCGGGGGAACUGAAACAUCUAAGUACCCCGAGGAAAAGAAAUCAACCGAGAUUCCCCCAGUAGCGGCGAGCGAACGGGGAGGAGCCCAGAGCCUGAAUCAGCAUGUGUGUUAGUGGAAGCGUCUGGAAAGGCGCGCGAUACAGGGUGACAGCCCCGUACACAAAAGCGCAUGUGCUGUGAGCUCGAUGAGUAGGGCGGGACACGUGGUAUCCUGUCUGAAUAUGGGGGGACCAUCCUCCAAGGCUAAAUACUCCUGACUGACCGAUAGUGAACCAGUACCGUGAGGGAAAGGCGAAAAGAACCCCGGCGAGGGGAGUGAAAAAGAACCUGAAACCGUGUACGUACAAGCAGUGGGAGCACAGGUUUACCUGUGUGACUGCGUACCUUUUGUAUAAUGGGUCAGCGACUUAUAUUCUGUAGCAAGGUUAACCGAAUAGGGGAGCCGGAGGGAAACCGAGUCUUAAU
Molecule: ribosomal RNA, 543 nt
Filed under: Salmonella enterica subsp. enterica serovar Newport
Lineage: Bacteria; Pseudomonadati; Pseudomonadota; Gammaproteobacteria; Enterobacterales; Enterobacteriaceae
Description: partial 23S ribosomal RNA
Rfam family: Bacterial large subunit ribosomal RNA
Source: RNAcentral